Molecule: small nuclear RNA, 106 nt
Organism: Myotis myotis
Lineage: Eukaryota; Metazoa; Chordata; Mammalia; Chiroptera; Vespertilionidae
Source: RefSeq, a predicted model, not a curated record
GUGCUCGCUUUGGCAGCAUGUACAUUAAAAUUGGAAUGGUGCAGAGAAGAUUAGCAUGGCCCCUGGCAAGGAUGACAUGCAUAUUCGUGAAGCGCUCCAUAAAAUA